AACGAGGCGAACCGGGGGAACUGAAACAUCUAAGUACCCCGAGGAAAAGAAAUCAACCGAGAUUCCCCCAGUAGCGGCGAGCGAACGGGGAGCAGCCCGGAGUCUGAAUCAGCUUGUGUGUUAGUGGAAGCGUCUGGAAAGUCGCAGGGUACAGGGUGAUACUCCCGUACACUAAAACGCACAGGUUGUGAACUCGAAGAGUAGGGCGGGACACGUGGUAUCCUGUCUGAAUAUGGGGGGACCAUCCUCCAAGGCUAAAUACUCCUGACUGACCGAUAGUGAACCAGUACCGUGAGGGAAAGGCGAAAAGAACCCCGGCGAGGGGAGUGAAAAAGAACCUGAAACCGUGUACGUACAAGCAGUAGGAGCCC
RNAcentral lists this ribosomal RNA (371 nucleotides) under Klebsiella michiganensis. RNAcentral's name for it is "partial 23S ribosomal RNA". It matches the Rfam family "Bacterial large subunit ribosomal RNA", at positions 173 to 582 of the family's 2925-position model. Lineage: Bacteria; Pseudomonadati; Pseudomonadota; Gammaproteobacteria; Enterobacterales; Enterobacteriaceae. The record is from RNAcentral.